GCCGCUAUAGCUCAGAGGAAGAGCUUCGAUCUCCUAAGUCGAAGGUCGCCGGUUCGAGCCCGGCUAGUGGUA
Naegleria gruberi is the source of this 72-nucleotide transfer RNA. It matches the Rfam family "tRNA". Rfam says of the family: Transfer RNA (tRNA) molecules are approximately 80 nucleotides in length. NCBI's taxonomy places the organism in Eukaryota, Heterolobosea, Eutetramitea, Acrasida, Naegleriidae. The record is from Rfam.